This 472-nucleotide ribosomal RNA is filed under the name uncultured bacterium. Its description in RNAcentral is "SSU rRNA". It matches the Rfam family "Bacterial small subunit ribosomal RNA", at positions 26 to 521 of the family's 1533-position model. The record is from RNAcentral.
AGGAUGAACGCUGGCGGCGUGCCUAACACAUGCAAGUCGAACGUCCUGUCUCGCAAGAGGCAGGGAGUGGCGGACGGGUGAGUACCACGUGGGUCAUCUACCGUGAGGUGAGGAAUACCGGCGAGAAAUCGCCGACAAGACCGCAUAGCCUCGGUGCAAGUCGAGGAAAGCUCUCUCGAGAGAGGGAGCGCCACACGAGGAGCCUGCGCCCGAUUAGCUAGCUGGUGGAGUAAUGGUUCACCAAGGCGGUGAUCGGUAGCUGGUCUGAGAGGAUGGUCAGCCACACUGGGACUGCGAACGGCCCAGACUCCUACGGGAGGCAGCAGUUAGGAAUUUUCGGCAAUGGACGAAAGUCUGACCGAGCGACGCCGCGUGGAGGAUGACGCCUUUCGGGUGUAACUCCUUUUCUGCGGGAAGAUAAUGACGGUACCGCAGGAAUAGCACCGGCUAACUACGCGCCAGCAGCCGCGGU